UGGUACACUCAGAGAGGGCAUGGAAACUCUGUGCCCUUUCCCUAUACCUUGCCCUAUGCAUCUCCUUCAUCUAGCUGUUCUUGAGUUCUAUACUUUUAUAAUAAGCUCGUGACCUAGUAAGUUCUUUGAGUUCUGAGAUCCCCUGUAGCAAAUUAAGAACCCAAGAAGGGAUCAUUGGAAUCUCUGAUCUGUAGCUGGUAGGUUGAAGCACAGGUAAUAUCCUUGUUUUGCAAAUGGCAUCUGAAGUGGAGUGGGUGGUGGGGGAGGGGCAGUAAUGUAGAACUGAACCCUUCUCCUUUGGAAUCUGACGCUAUCCAGGUAGAUCGUGUCAGGAUUGAGUUGAAUUGUAGGACAUGCAGCUGAUGUCUGGAGAAUUGCCUGUUGGUGUGGGAACCUCCCCACAACUAGACAGACAUACAUUGGGAUUUGGUGAUCAGGAUUACCUUUUACAGGCUAAGCAACUGGUCCAGGACUGCAUUUUCAAGAGAAACCCCAGAACUGACCACUACAGUUCCUUCUCCAGUGUCAGAGACAUCUCCAGAUAAAGAUGCACAGAAGAGUGCCACCUUGAAGGUGUCUGAUUUUUUGAUAGGACUACCUGAAGCAGACGAUGGCACAGUGUGCUAUAGACCGAGAAGGUGGUGUGAAGAUGUGCAAAGAAGAGGUGAAGAGGAGGAGGGGAUGUUAUUCAGUGUUAUUUCGGUUACCACUCCUCCCCAUUUAAAGGACUGUAACCAUGGCAACUGGACCCAACUAAAGAGGAGGCAAUGAUGGCUAGUGUUCUCCUUGCAAUAAACUACAGUUAUCCUUUUUUACAA
This is a long non-coding RNA of Panthera uncia (snow leopard), 818 nucleotides long. RefSeq lists it as uncharacterized. The record is from RefSeq and is a predicted model, not a curated record. The transcript is spliced from 3 exons. Lineage: Eukaryota; Metazoa; Chordata; Mammalia; Carnivora; Felidae.